Molecule: ribosomal RNA, 406 nt
Filed under: Escherichia coli
Lineage: Bacteria; Pseudomonadati; Pseudomonadota; Gammaproteobacteria; Enterobacterales; Enterobacteriaceae
Description: bacterial SSU rRNA
Rfam family: Bacterial small subunit ribosomal RNA
Source: RNAcentral
GAUCCAGCCAUGCCGCGUGUCUGAAGAAGGCCUUCGGGUUGUAAAGGACUUUUGUCAGGGAAGAAAAGGCUGUUGCUAAUAUCAGCGGCUGAUGACGGUACCUGAAGAAUAAGCACCGGCUAACUACGUGCCAGCAGCCGCGGUAAUACGUAGGGCGCGAGCGUUAAUCGGAAUUACUGGGCGUAAAGCGGGCGCAGACGGUUACUUAAGCAGGAUGUGAAAUCCCCGGGCUCAACCCGGGAACUGCGUUCUGAACUGGGUGACUCGAGUGUGUCAGAGGGAGGUAGAAUUCCACGUGUAGCAGUGAAAUGCGUAGAGAUGUGGAGGAAUACCGAUGGCGAAGGCAGCCUCCUGGGACAACACUGACGUUCAUGCCCGAAAGCGUGGGUAGCAAACAGGAUUAGAU